UUGUGUUUAAAAUUUAUUUUAUAAAGUCAAUUACAAAAAUACGUUUGGAAAAACUUCAAUUUUAAAAGUCGAUUUUGCAAAUUUUAAUUUGCAAAUAAAAAAAAUUUAAAUUUCUAUCACGCAGUCUAAGAAAUUUGUCAAAAUUGAGCCCCAAACGAUUGGAGUGUUAAAGUUCGCAUCAUUCGGUAUGAAAAUACUGCAUGAUAAGCGAAGUGGAUUUUUCGGAGCUGUUAUGAUUAUGUUAGUUGGGCUUAUUUUACAUUUAUCUGGAGUGGGACUCAAUUCAGAAGAAGCAAAGGAUUUACCGAGUUUUUCGUCAUCAGUUUUUCUACUUUGCAUUUUGUGCUUGCUGGUUAGAUUCCGCAUGACUUGGUGGAAUGGUUUCUCAAAUGCGAUGAAAGUAUUUAUUUUUUUAGUGGAACUUGUAGUUUGCAUUUUCAUUGCAUGCUUUCUUACCACAUUACUUUGGUGGUAUUAUUGCAAGGUCAUUUUAUUUAUAUGCACUUAUGUUGGAAAUGUACUACAGAAACGGUCUGCACUUGAUAAUUAUGCACCAACAAUAGCGCGUCUGUUGACGAAUUACGUAGCGCCGCUUGCUCAAUUAUUUACUAUAAUGAAAUUCCUUGGGUUCACUUUGAGAUAUUCAGGAACUAUUGCAUAUAUACGUGAAGAAGUUACAGCACCCACUCUGCCGGAUGACAGUGACGAUGUAAAUGCAAUUUAUUGACAAGCAAAAAACACCACACUAACAUCACAGGAGCACGUAAAAAUUCUCAAUAAUGUGUUAGCUGGAAGGAAGUGUGCUUGCAAAUAUCACAACUUAGCACGAAGCCGUAAUAAUGAAGUAUUGGAAUCAUGACCAAAACAGUAACACACUUAAAUCAGUUCUUUUUUUAUUUAAGUAACAGUAACAUCGACUACUAUUACUAAGUAAAUGUCUGGAGAUUCCAGCACAUAUCGUACCAAACCGUAUGUCAUGGUUCAGAGUAGCGCUCAUUGAAUUUUCAAGCAAACUUACUACAGGUUUCAAAAGUAACGGCAGAAGGAAGCUGUUAAAUCCUUUCGAGAGAAACGUGUCUAUCACAUAAGAAGCGGAAUUAAAUCAACGAUAACAUAUUUUGGUCCAUUAAGAAACUCAAAUUUAAAUGAAUAGAUAGACUCUCACCUAAUAUAUUCAAAACAACUAAUAGGCGAAGAUAUCUGAAAGAUAUUCUGCGGCAACAGUUAAGAGUAACUGGCACGUAGUCCGAUGUAAAAUAAGAACUUAACAUAGGGAUACUAAAGUCAUAAUGGAAGAUCUCCAAUCGGUUGGGUAUUACACAUUAUGAAAUUUUUUCUUUUUCUUCUAAAUUUUUUAUGUUCAUUAACAAAAUUUUUAAUGUAAAAGGAAUGUAAA
Molecule: long non-coding RNA, 1396 nt
Organism: Teleopsis dalmanni
Lineage: Eukaryota; Metazoa; Arthropoda; Insecta; Diptera; Diopsidae
Exons: 3
Source: RefSeq, a predicted model, not a curated record